RNAcentral lists this long non-coding RNA (221 nucleotides) under Lathyrus oleraceus (garden pea). RNAcentral describes it as "Pisum sativum (pea) long non-coding RNA (PSAT_LNC003481)". Lineage: Eukaryota; Viridiplantae; Streptophyta; Magnoliopsida; Fabales; Fabaceae. The record is from RNAcentral.
UUCAAGAGAGGUAAUGGUGGGAUUUGCUUCAAACUUCUGGUUCAUCCUUCUUCUUCGUAUUUUUCUAAGUUUUUGUCUCAAGUUUCUAAACUUCUAAAGAUAUUUUCUUUUUCUCCAAGAUGAUCCUUUUAUAACCUUCCCGCUUUUAGGGGUUUUCCUAAACAUUGGAUCAUGGGAUUCUUGAUUAUCCAUUGAUUGGCCCAUGGAAUCCAUAAUGUUCC